This 427-nucleotide ribosomal RNA is filed under the name uncultured bacterium. RNAcentral's name for it is "partial 16S ribosomal RNA". It matches the Rfam family "Bacterial small subunit ribosomal RNA", at positions 355 to 774 of the family's 1533-position model. The record is from RNAcentral.
UGGGGAAUAUUGGACAAUGGGCGAAAGCCUGAUCCAGCCAUGCCGCGUGUGUGAAGAAGGUCUUCGGAUUGUAAAGCACUUUAAGUUGGGAGGAAGGGCAUUAACCUAAUACGUUAGUGUUUUGACGUUACCGACAGAAUAAGCACCGGCUAACUCUGUGCCAGCAGCCGCGGUAAUACAGAGGGUGCAAGCGUUAAUCGGAAUUACUGGGCGUAAAGCGCGCGUAGGUGGUUUGUUAAGUCGGAUGUGAAAGCCCCGGGCUCAACCUGGGAACUGCAUCCAAAACUGGCAAGCUAGAGUACGGUAGAGGGUGGUGGAAUUUCCUGUGUAGCGGUGAAAUGCGUAGAUAUAGGAAGGAACACCAGUGGCGAAGGCGACCACCUGGACUGAUACUGACACUGAGGUGCGAAAGCGUGGGGAGCAAACA